Molecule: long non-coding RNA, 1904 nt
Filed under: Homo sapiens (human)
Lineage: Eukaryota; Metazoa; Chordata; Mammalia; Primates; Hominidae
Description: HSALNT0226734
Source: RNAcentral
UUCAGGGAGGAACCUGACAAAAGCACAUGCGGCCUGCCUGUCAUGUUUUUUCCAGGGGAUUUGUGGGCUGAGGAAACCUGAGUUCCUGCCCUGGCCCCCUGGGUGCCAUCCCUGCUGGAGGGGAGAUGAAGGAAGCACAGCUACCCUACUUGAGCUCCCAAGUCAGCGAGCCUCCAGGAGGCUUCCCAUGAGUCCUCAUUCUUUGACAACUGCCUCUGGGCUCAAGGCAAUGUUAGGGUUUUGUUUGUUUGUUUUGAGGCGGAGUUUCACUCGUCGCACAGGCUGGAGUGCAGUGGCACGAUCUGGACUCACUGCAACCACCACCUCCCGGGUUCAAGCGAUUCUCUUGACUCAGCCUCCUGAGUAGCUGGGAUUACAGGCGCCCGCCACCACGCCCGGCUAAUUUUUAUAUAUUUAGUAGAGAUGGGGUUUCACCACGUUGGCCAGGCUGGUCUUGAACUCCUGACCUCAGGUAAUCUGCCUGCCUCAGCCUCCCAAAGUGCUGGGAUUACAGGCAUGAGCCACCAUGCCUGGCCCUGAUUUUAUAUUCAGAUGGUUUCUGUGUUCUCCACCAUGCUUUCUCCUUUCCCAAGUGUUUUUUUGUUCGUUUGUUUUGUUUUGUUUUUUGAGAUGGGGUCUCACUCUGUAGCCCAGGCUGGAGUGCAGUGGUGUGAUCUCAGCUCACUGCAACUGCCGCCUCCCAGGUUCAAGCGAUUCUCCUGCUUCAGCCUCCCAAGUAGCUGGGAUUACAGGUGCGCACCACCAUGCCUGGCUGUUUUUGUAUUUUUAGUAGAGAUGGGGUUUCACCAUGUUGGCCAGGUUGGUCUGGAACUCUGGACCUCAGGUGAUCUGCCUGCCUCGGCCUCCCAAAGUGCUGGGAUUACAGGUGUGAGCCACUGCUCCAGGCCUGUUCCCAAGUACCCUUGGCUGUCUGUUCUUGUCAGAUGUUAAGGACACCUGAGGAUGUCAGGGCAGGACGUUUCGGGUGCAACCUCAAGAAGUGGGAGUGAGGAAGAGGAGGCCGGGGUGGGUCAGAGGGCAGGGUCACUGUGGGGCGCGUCUGCCCUGUACUCAGUGUGGCACCAUCGGGCCCCUCCUGCUGUUGCCUGGGAAGCCUUACCCAGCAGUGAGGGGUGGCUGUGGAGCAGCAGGGCCGGGAGCGGGGGAGCAUUUUUGCUGCCACCUUUUAGUGGAGUUGGGGGAAUGACAAAGGUGCCCUGGGCCUGAGUCUUUCAGUGGCGCUGGCAGUCGGCCGGGAGGGAGACGCAUACUGGGGAGCUGGAGCCUGCACACUGGGCCUGGCCACAUCACUGUUUUCCUCACCCUCUGGUUUUAUUUUGAAACAUUUGGAGCAUAAAAGUUGCAGGAGCACGCAGUGCAUACUGUAUCGCCCUGGCCUGGGUUCCCCGGCUCUCCUUCCCUCUCUCUCUCCUCUUUUUUCUCUCUCCCUCCCUCUGUCUCUCCUCCACACACUUCUCUUUUGCCAAACCAUCCAAAUGCAGGCAGCAGACUCCAAAACCAUUCUGCCUGCACCUCUGAGCACACCCUUCCCAGUCAUAGCCAUGUUAAUGCGAGUGUGCCUGAGAGGAUCGCCGCUGGUUCCGUGAUAUCACCCAGCAUCAUCCACACCACAUCCCAGUGAGCAGUGAGGACAAAAAUGGCCAGGGAUGCGUGAAAUCCACUAGCUCCAGUGGCCAGACACAUCCCGGUUGCCUCCAGGUUGUAAGCAAUCCUGAAAUAGCCUCGUAUGUUCCUAGGACAGAGUUCUAGAAGUGAGAUUGCCGAACUGGAAGAAUGCAAGUUACAUUCAACCCACGUCCUGCGAAUGCCGAUCUCUCCGGCAUUUGUCAACACCUGGUUUUAUCAUCAAGAAGAAAACAGUAAUAACGCGUCCUCCGCUUGGC